Molecule: ribosomal RNA, 217 nt
Filed under: uncultured bacterium
Lineage: Bacteria
Description: partial 16S ribosomal RNA
Rfam family: Bacterial small subunit ribosomal RNA
Source: RNAcentral
ACGCUCGACACCUACGGAGGCAGCAGUGAGGAAUAUUGGUCAAUGGACGCAAGUCUGAACCAGCCAUGCCGCGUGCAGGAUGACGGCUCUAUGAGUUGUAAACUGCUUUUGUACGAGGGUAAACGCAGAUACGUGUAUCUGUCUGAAAGUAUCGUACGAAUAAGGAUCGGCUAACUCCGUACCAGCAGCCGCGGUAAUCUGAGCGGGCUGGCAAGGC